This 116-nucleotide ribosomal RNA is filed under the name Lepisosteus oculatus (spotted gar). The record is from RNAcentral. Lineage: Eukaryota; Metazoa; Chordata; Actinopteri; Semionotiformes; Lepisosteidae.
UUCAGCAGCCAUAUCAACCUGUAAGUUACAACUGGCAACCCACUGAAGCUAAGCAGGUGUGAGCGUGGUCAGGACCUGGAUGGGAGACCUGGGAAAAACUAAGGUUGCUGCUGGAA